This 485-nucleotide ribosomal RNA is filed under the name uncultured bacterium. Its description in RNAcentral is "partial 16S ribosomal RNA". It matches the Rfam family "Bacterial small subunit ribosomal RNA", at positions 29 to 507 of the family's 1533-position model. The record is from RNAcentral.
AUUGAACGCUGGCGGCAUGCCUUACACAUGCAAGUCAACGGCAGCACGGGUGCUUGCCCCCGGGGGCGAGUGGCGAACGGGUUAGUAAUACAACGGAACAUGUCCCGUAGGGGGGGAUAGCCCGGGGGAAGCCGGAUUAAUACCGCAAACGAACUUCGGAUGAAAGCGGGGGGCCUUCGGGCCCCGCGCUAUAGGGGUGGCCGAUGGCUGAUUAGCUAGUUGGUGGGGUAAAGGCCUACCAAGGCGACGAUCAGUAGCUGGUCUGAGAGGACGACCAGCCACACUGGGACUGAGACACGGCCCAGACUCCUACGGGAGGCAGCAGUGGGGAAUUUUGGACAAUGGGCGAAAGCCUGAUCCAGCAAUGCCGCGUGUGUGAAGAAGGCCUUCGGGUUGUAAAGCACUUUUGUCCGGAAAGAAAUCCUUGGCCCUAAUACGGUCGGGGGAUGACGGUACCGGAAGAAUAAGCACCGGCUAACUACGUG